Molecule: ribosomal RNA, 389 nt
Filed under: uncultured bacterium
Lineage: Bacteria
Description: bacterial SSU rRNA
Rfam family: Bacterial small subunit ribosomal RNA
Source: RNAcentral
GACGAACGCUGGCGGCGUGCUUAACACAUGCAAGUCGAGCGGUAAGGCCCUUUCGGGGGUACACGAGCGGCGAACGGGUGAGUAACACGUGGGUGACCUGCCCUUAGCUCUGGGAUAAGCCUGGGAAACUGGGUCUAAUACCGGAUAUGACCUCAUGACUCAUGUUGUGGGGUGGAAAGCCUUGUGCGGCUAGGGAUGGGCCCGCGGCCUAUCAGCUUGUUGGUGGGGUAAUUGCCUACCAAGGCGACGACGGGUAGCCGGCCUGAGAGGGCGACCGGCCACACUGGGACUGAGACACGGCCCAGACUCCUACGGGAGGCAGCAGUGGGGAAUCUUGCGCAAUGGGCGAAAGCCUGACGCAGCGACGCCGCGUGAGGGAUGACGGCCUC